GGGCGAUUAGCUCAGUUGGUAGAGCGCCUGCCUUACAAGCAGGAUGUCACUGGUUCGAGCCCAGUAUCGCCCA
Molecule: transfer RNA, 73 nt
Filed under: Leptolyngbya sp. SIOISBB
Lineage: Bacteria; Bacillati; Cyanobacteriota; Cyanophyceae; Leptolyngbyales; Leptolyngbyaceae
Also listed under: 10 other names
Description: tRNA-Val
Rfam family: tRNA
About the family: Transfer RNA (tRNA) molecules are approximately 80 nucleotides in length. Their secondary structure includes four short double-helical elements and three loops (D, anti-codon, and T loops). Further hydrogen bonds mediate the characteristic L-shaped molecular structure. tRNAs have two regions of fundamental functional importance: the anti-codon, which is responsible for specific mRNA codon recognition, and the 3' end, to which the tRNAs corresponding amino acid is attached (by aminoacyl-tRNA synthetases). tRNAs cope with the degeneracy of the genetic code in two manners: having more than one tRNA (with a specific anti-codon) for a particular amino acid; and 'wobble' base-pairing, i.e. permitting non-standard base-pairing at the 3rd anti-codon position.
Source: RNAcentral